Molecule: transfer RNA, 56 nt
Filed under: Peripatoides sp. DVL-2010
Lineage: Eukaryota; Metazoa; Onychophora; Udeonychophora; Euonychophora; Peripatopsidae
Description: tRNA-Phe
Source: RNAcentral
AAAUUAAUAGUUUAAAGAAUAUAUUGUUGAAGACAAUAAGGUGUUUAAUUAACUUU